Molecule: long non-coding RNA, 610 nt
Filed under: Sorghum bicolor (sorghum)
Lineage: Eukaryota; Viridiplantae; Streptophyta; Magnoliopsida; Poales; Poaceae
Description: long non-coding RNA (SBIC_LNC002267)
Source: RNAcentral
GGGCCUCUUUUUCGCGUUUGCAAGUUCAUGGACCAAAGUGGCAGAGGACGACAAGUUAAAGGGCCGCCGAUGUAUUUUACUCUAAAAAAUAUAGCGCCCUAUACACAUACUCACAAAUGAGUAUGUAGGUAUUGCACGUGCUGAAGAUCCUGGUUUGAACUCUCAAAGACACUUUUUUUUUGUUUUUUAGGUUUCUUGAAAAUUAUUAUGAGACGCGAUCGUAUUAACACGCUUGUGUCUGUAAUAAUAUCAAAGAAAUUAUUUAUUAAUUAGAGGUUAUUUUUUUUGUUCGUCUCCAAAAAUGAAAAACACCCGAAUGUUAAAAUAAAAAAUCUUCUAUCCAGUAGUGAUAUAUGCCCGCACCUGAAAUGUUGCACAGUCGAAGUUGCCGAUCUCCAGCUCCCUGACGCUAGAAAGGGCAGUGAGCAUGCCCCGGUAGUCUCUCGCCUCGUGGGCGUUCAGCGUGAUGUUGGCGUAGCUAAGCUUGGGCAGGUGCCCUAGCUCCCAGGAGCCGGCGCCGGCCAUCGUCAGGCGCAGCUCCAGCCACCGGAGGUUGGGCGCCUGGAUGAUCCACGCGCCAGGGACAGGGAGGCCCUCGCCGGCUCCGACA